CUGCGAUCCGUGAGCCGACCACUAAUACGUAUUCUCUGUUCUAGUAACCCCGCUCAAAUACGUAAUCUAGCAUGUUCCCCGAAACGUCUUCUUCCUCCCCUCCGUCGCCGUCGCCGGCCUCCAAUGGCCAUGGCGCUUUCCUCUCUCCUCCGGGAACCGGCCCUAAAAUCAAUGGGCAAUGGUCUGGGUAACCAUGGUAGGUAGGCCUCCUGCCGGCGACCCUGCCCCUCUUCGCCGCCAGCUUUCCAGAUCCACAAAAAGUUGGCAUCCUCAUCCUCUUGGGUAGGUAGGUAGGUAAGGUCGUGCUGCGCUGCCUGUUAGUUUCAUCUCCUGCGCUGGUUAAUUUGCUGGAUGUUACCUCCUACUCCUGCUGCUGCUGCUGCUGCUGCUUUUGUUCUCUGAAUCAAUGGAUGAUACUGAUUCGUUUCUAGUCUAUGAUUCCACUUUUUUUGGUGUUCACAUUACUAAUUUGUUACUAGGUAUGUAAAACAUUUACCAGGGAAUUUUCUAUUUCUGCUGUUGCUACCGCCUACUAUCCCUUAUGAUUUUCCUUGUGUACAAAUCAAUAUACAGUCUGACUGACCACUAAUUUGCUUGGACUGACAAAUUCAUUCAUGUAAUUGCUGAAAACUGCCAUUGCACAACACUGGGCAACAAACUUGCUGCAUUACUGGAGGUUGAGGAUGCGAUUUAUCGGAUCUUUUGAAGUUUUAAGAACCCAAUGGUCAUAUCACUCCAGCUCGAAUGUCAACAAGACUCCAUGCUCCGGCAAACAGGAGGCACGCAUCUCUGCCGUCGCAGCUCUUAUCAACGCCCGCUUUGGAGGCAGUGUCUUUGAGCCUCAGCACAGAAACCAAGCACUCCCGCAUUCUAUCUUUAUGUAUGCACCUACGAGAGUCUUGUUGAUGGUUUUGACAAAGAUAUCCAGUGACAGUAACCAGUCUAGACACACUUGCCUUGGUGAUAUGAAUAUGAGAUCUCCGCAAUACAUUGCAAUUUAGUUAGCUUCUUUGUUGACUUGUGUGAGGAUCCGAGGCAGGCAUAUAACCAUGUGGGCUCAGGCCCUGCCAAAUUGCAUCUGCGUUUUCAAACCCCCCUUUCUUUUUAAUAAGCCAAGGCGUGCGCUUCAAUUAGCUUGGUUCUUAGCCUUCUUGUUAAUGUUGACUACUGAUUAAUGAAGGAAGGAAGCUUGUUCACAAAAAAAGUUAUAUAUGUCUGUUUAUUUUAGUGUUCUUAACCUGAUCCGAUGAAUUUUUUUUAGCUACAUAAACAAAUAAAAUCGGAUUGUUUUUCUAAUAAGAAAAAAGAGGAACUUCUGAAACCCUCUAGAACUGUAGGUCCACUGGUUUACCUGAAGCAUGAAGUAAUGUUGCCUGCAUGUGCACAGUUUUGAGAAUAGAAAAACAAUUACACUGUUCCCUUUCUGGACCUCUACAGAACAAGCUCUAGUGCUACUGUUGCAAAUCACCAUGGCUCUCCAUUUAUUCGAUACAGUUGUAAAGCAUCAUCACUCUAAGGACAAUUACUAACUGAAACGUUACAUAGUUUGUUUAUUCAAGGCUAUUCUGGAUUUCUCGAGUCGAGGCUUCUUUUUCUGCUCCAUGCCCCCCUAUAAAUUUGAGCCACAUUGUUGGGUCAGCUAUCUCCAAGGUUCUAUCUGGAAGAGCAUCCUCAGCAAACUUAUGCAGAUCCAAUGAAUCUCCGAAUGUGCCUUCUGUUGGGCUCCUUCCGGUAAACAUCUCAAGCAGCAAUAUGCCAAGGCUAUAAAUAUCACCAGCCGUUGAGGCCGCAGAGCCUUCUCCAUACUCUACAAUUAUGCAAAGCUUUCUGGUUAGCAUGCCAUAUUCGAGUGAAAAGGAAAAUAUAAAAUUAGAAUAGUUUCGGUCACCUGGAGCAACAUAGCCUAUGAAACCUCUAAUUCCAGUUGAGCCAUAUGAAGUUUGCAUCCCCUCGCUUGUAUUUUCUUGAAGGAUCCUUGAUAUGCCAAAGUCACCAACUCGUGCACUCAUGUCUCCAGCAAGAAGAAUGUUGCUUGGCUUAAGAUCGCAAUGGAUUACCAAUGGUUGACAGUAGUUGUGCAGAUAUUCUAUUGCGUCCACAAUAUCAGCAGCAAUAUCGAGCCUCUGGGCAAGGCUAAGCGUGUUGUUUGUGGUCGGUUCUUGAGAUUUUGGAUGAAGCCAACCAUCCAAGUUACCAUUGGGCAUGAACUCAAAAACCAAUGCCUUGAACUCUUGACCUUGGUGGUUGACGCUCGAACAGGAAGUAAUGAUCUUAAUCAGACAACGGUGUCGUAUCCUUCUCAUGGCCUCACAUUCAACCUCAAAACUCUUGGAAUACCUAGAUUGACCAAGAUUAAAUACCUUGACAGCCAAUGUUCUAUCUUCAGUGUCCAAAACACACUUAUAAACCGCACCAUAACUUCCUCUCCCAAGCAAGUUGGCUAUUGAAAAUUCAUUAGUUCCCCUCAAUAAUGCAUGAUAUGGGAUUCUCUUGUAAUGGUCAUCAACAAUUGAAUUGUGUGCUAAUGUCUUCUGGCUUGGUUUGAGCUUCUUGCAAAAUAUCCAAAGAAGAAGAAUAACUAAAAGUGACAGCAAGAUUGCUCCGGCUGUUGCUAGAGAAAUUACAAGAGACUUUGGCAUCCUUUUUCUGUUCUUGCUUGAGGGGCUUGUGGGGCAUGGAGCCAAGUGAAGUUGAGGUGUACCACCACACAAAUUAAUAUUCCCAGCAACUACUAAGUAAGUGAUGUUUCUGAAAACACCUUCAUCUGGCACCUCACCUUGCAAAUUAUUGAAGGAUAUAUCCAGUACAGACAAUGAUGUCAAAUUCUGUAGAACUGAUGGGAUUGACCCUGAUAAGCUGUUGUGUGCUAUGUAUAGUUCUUCCAGGCUUCCAAUAUGGCCAAGAGCAUCAGGAAUAUUACCAGAGAGCUUAUUCAUGGUCAGGUUCAAUACUCUGAGCCCCUUUAUAUUUCUCAGUGACAGAGGUAUCUUGCCAAACAACUGGUUUCCUGAUAGAGUCAGUCGGUUAAGAUCUGUCAAACGACCAACUUCAUUAGGAAGGGGACCAGAAAGGGAAUUGUGUGACAAGUCCAAAUACCAAGAGAGGCCGGGUAAUUUAAAAAUCUCUGUGGGUAUUGAACCGUUAAGGUGGUAAUUCUUUGACAAAUCAAGUACAAAGAGGUUUUUCAACUCUCCCAGGCUUGCCGGAAUUGACCCCUCCAAGUU
Molecule: long non-coding RNA, 3224 nt
Organism: Triticum aestivum (bread wheat)
Lineage: Eukaryota; Viridiplantae; Streptophyta; Magnoliopsida; Poales; Poaceae
Exons: 4
Source: RefSeq, a predicted model, not a curated record